GCCUACGGGGGGCAGCAGUGAGGAAUAUUGGUCAAUGGCCGAGAGGCUGAACCAGCCAAGUCGCGUGAGGGAAGAAUGUCCUAUGGAUUGUAAACCUCUUUUGUCAGGGAGCAAAGUCACCCACGUGUGGGUGUUGGAGAGUACCUGAAGAAAAAGCAUCGGCUAACUCCGUGCCAGCAGCCGCGGUAAUACGGAGGAUGCGAGCGUUAUCCGGAUUUAUUGGGUUUAAAGGGUGCGUAGGCGGGCAUUUAAGCCGGCGGUCAAAUGUCGGGGCUCAACCCCGGCCUGCCGUCGGAACUGGGUGG
RNAcentral lists this ribosomal RNA (305 nucleotides) under uncultured bacterium. RNAcentral describes it as "bacterial SSU rRNA". It matches the Rfam family "Bacterial small subunit ribosomal RNA", at positions 337 to 640 of the family's 1533-position model. The record is from RNAcentral.